GACGAACGCUGGCGGCGUGCUUAACACAUGCAAGUCGAACGGAAAGGCCCUGCUUUUGUGGGGUGCUCGAGUGGCGAACGGGUGAGUAACACGUGAGUAACCUGUCCUUGACUUUGGGAUAACUUCAGGAAACUGGGGCUAAUACCGGAUAGGAGCUCCUGCUGCAUGGUGGGCGUUGGAAAGUUUCGGCGGUUGGGGAUGGACUCGCGGCUUAUCAGCUUGUUGGUGGGGUAGUGGCUUACCAAGGCUUUGACGGGUAGCCGGCCUGAGAGGGUGACCGGCCACAUUGGGACUGAGAUACGGCCCAGACUCCUACGGGAGGCAGCAGUGGGGAAUAUUGCACAAUGGGCGGAAGCCUGAUGCAGCAACGCCGCGUGCGGGAUGACGGCCUUCGGGUUGUAAACCGCUUUCGCCUGUGACGAAGCGUGAGUGACGGUAAUGGGUAAAGAAGCACCGGCUAACUACGUG
This 468-nucleotide ribosomal RNA is filed under the name uncultured bacterium. RNAcentral's name for it is "partial 16S ribosomal RNA". It matches the Rfam family "Bacterial small subunit ribosomal RNA", at positions 28 to 507 of the family's 1533-position model. The record is from RNAcentral.